CCUACGGGCGGCAGCAGUGGGGAAUAUUGCGCAAUGGGCGAAAGCCUGACGCAGCGACGCCGCGUGAGGGAUGAAGGUCUUCGGAUCGUAAACCUCUGUCAGCAGGGAAGAACGGUCACUGUGCUAAUCAGCAGUGAAUUGACGGUACCUGCAAAGGAAGCACCGGCUAACUCCGUGCCAGCAGCCGCGGUAAUACGGAGGGUGCGAGCGUUAAUCGGAAUUACUGGGCGUAAAGCGCUCGUAGGCGGUAUGUCAAGUCAAGGGUGAAAUCCCCGCGCUCAACGUGGGAACUGCCUUUGAAACUGGCAAACUGGAGUGUGUGAGAGGAGAGUGGAAUUCCGGGUGUAGGAGUGAAAUCCGUAGAUAUCUGGAGGAACAUCAGUGGCGAAGGCGACUAUCUGGAACAUAACUGACGCUGAGGAGCGAAAGCGUGGGUAGCAAACAGGAUUAGAUACCCUUGUAGUC
This 465-nucleotide ribosomal RNA is filed under the name uncultured bacterium. Its description in RNAcentral is "partial 16S ribosomal RNA". It matches the Rfam family "Bacterial small subunit ribosomal RNA", at positions 338 to 795 of the family's 1533-position model. The record is from RNAcentral.